RNAcentral lists this unclassified non-coding RNA (417 nucleotides) under uncultured Inocybe. Its description in RNAcentral is "sequence contains ITS2". The stretch from base 1 to 154 matches the Rfam family "5.8S ribosomal RNA". The record is from RNAcentral. Lineage: Eukaryota; Fungi; Basidiomycota; Agaricomycetes; Agaricales; Cortinariaceae.
AACUUUUAACAAUGGAUCUCUUGGCUCUCGCAUCGAUGAAGAACGCAGCGAAAUGCGAUAAGUAAUGUGAAUUGCAGAAUUCAGUGAAUCAGCGAAUCUUUGAACGCAUCUUGCGCUCCUUGGUAUUCCGAGGAGCAUGCCUGUUUGAGAGUGAUUUAAACUCUCAAACCACAUCAUUUGUUUGACGUGGCUUUGGAUGUGGGGGUUGCUGGCUUUCUUCUCAGAGAGGCCUGCUCCUCUGAAAUGCAUUAGUGGUAUCUGGAGUGGAAAACCGCUAGGUGUGAUAAUACUGUCUAUGCCUUUGGUUUAUGCCGCAUGUGCUGCUUCCAACCUGCACAUUUUUUGUGCUUUUGACAAACUUGACCUCAAAUCAGGUAGGACUACCCGCUGAACUUAAGCAUACAAUAAGCGGAGGCU